CAGCCGCCGCGGGAAUACGUAGGUGGCAAGCGUUGUCCGGAAUUAUUGGGCGUAAAGGACUCGCAGGCGGUUUCUUAAGUCUGAUGUGAAAGCCCCCGGCUCAACCGGGGAGGGCCAUUGGAAACUGGGAAACUUGAGUGCAGAAGAGGAGAGUGGAAUUCCACGUGUAGCGGUGAAAUGCGUAGAGAUGUGGAGGAACACCAGUGGCGAAGGCGACUCUCUGGUCUGUAACUGACGCUGAGGAGCGAAAGCGUGGGGAGCGAACAGGAUUAGAUACCCCAGUAGUCCUGUCUCUUAUACA
RNAcentral lists this ribosomal RNA (301 nucleotides) under uncultured bacterium. RNAcentral's name for it is "partial 16S ribosomal RNA". It matches the Rfam family "Bacterial small subunit ribosomal RNA", at positions 509 to 809 of the family's 1533-position model. The record is from RNAcentral.